GGGGAGGAGCGAAGUGAAACUGCAGCAGGUUGAGUGAGGUAGCCCAGAGACAUGAAUUGGUAUUGGGCCCAAACAGAGGAUGUGAGGAAACCAAUGGAGCAGAUAAGAGACAAUCUUGUCGUUACUGACACUCACAAGAGCAUCGGGUCAGUUAUAAAGCAACAAUUCCCCACAACAGUUCAGGAGAACUGGAGGUCAAUUGCCUGGAGAGCAAGCUGCCGAAAAGGGAUAGCUGUAGUGUGGUGAAAUCUAUAACCUGCGGGAGCGCUAGAGCCAGCGCUCCAUGUGGAAGUGAUGAGCGCACUGCCAGGAUGCAAACCUGCACUCCCCGGGGCCCUGACCACGCGACUGUGCCUAUACAAGAGUAAAGAACCAGCAAGUCUGCCAUCAGCCUGACAGAGACAGCUGCUGAAGAAACUACCUGUGCUAUUUUUUGGUUUAUAUAUUAAAUACCUCACCGC
Long non-coding RNA from Acipenser ruthenus (sterlet), 461 nucleotides. RefSeq lists it as uncharacterized. Lineage: Eukaryota; Metazoa; Chordata; Actinopteri; Acipenseriformes; Acipenseridae. The transcript is spliced from 4 exons. The record is from RefSeq and is a predicted model, not a curated record.